UUUCUUCCGUGUCAACAACAAGAAGUCGGCCAACUAUAUAUACUCUACAAUCAAGUAAUACCGAGGUAAGAAUUAAAAGGAGUUCUUUGGCCGGUGGUAGUUUUGGCCUGAGUUGGUGAUCGGCAUCAUGGAGGUGGUUAUGAACAUUCUCAAGACACCAGUGCCCAGUGGGGUGUCUAUGACCCUGGGCCUGUUCAUGAUCUUCCUGGCUCUGCUGUACUGGAUACGGAGUGUGGAAUUCGUCCCUGGCUCAAUGUGGAAUAAGGCACCCCAAACCGUCCCCAUUCUUUGGGAACCUGUUUCUAUUUCGUCAGGGCUUUUUCGGUGUUCACACAGACCUGAUUCACAAGUAUGGGAGAGUAUGUGGAUACUAUCUAGGCAGGAGGCCCGUGGUGGUGGUAGCUGACCCUGAUAUGCUCAGACAGAUCAUGGUGAAGGACUUCAGCACCUUCCCCAACAGAAUGACAAUCCGUGCCGCUACUAAGCCCAUGAGUGACUGUCUGCUGAUGCUGAGGAACGAGCACUGGAAGAGAGUACGCAGCAUCCUCACCCCCUCCUUCAGUGCAGCCAAGAUG
Molecule: long non-coding RNA, 575 nt
Organism: Salvelinus namaycush (lake trout)
Lineage: Eukaryota; Metazoa; Chordata; Actinopteri; Salmoniformes; Salmonidae
Exons: 6
Source: RefSeq, a predicted model, not a curated record